UGGUGGAUUGGAAGAAGAUUCCGCACAAUUGAAGGAAGCAGCUAUGCUCGAUCUAAUCUCGGAUCUCAUUCACCUUCAACUCCUCAAAGUCUUGAUCCCUUCCUUUAAAUCCUAUAUCCUGAAGGUAAUUCCUUUGUUUUUUUUUUAAUUCUAAUGGUGAUAUGAUGAUUAAUUACAUCAUAGAAUGUUAGGCAUGUGAUGCUCGAGCUUAAAAGCUUAUAUUAUGCCCCACCUAACUCAUGACGACCUGCACCAUAUAUGCUACCUUGAGCCACCUGGAGAUGGAUUUGAGGUGAGCAUGUGUAUGGGGUUUUUCAAUAGCGAGGCAGAUACAUAUAUUGGCUUACUCGAGUCAUUGCCAUCAUAUUGUGUGGUCCCUCCUCAUAUUGGACCCACAAUCUUAAAAUAAAAUAAAAAGGAAAUGUAGGUGUUUUAGAUCAUGUAUUUUUGGUUGGGUUGGAAUUGUUGGGGCAAUGGAGGGUUGUGCAGUGUAAAAAUAGAGGCAACAACAAUGGGAAAGAGAAAGAAUUCAGAUAAAAGGUACUAUUUUGUCAAAUAAUCAAAUAGUUGAUUGUAUCAUGAUUUUGAUGAAAUUUUAGUAUGUUGUUUCUCACAUCGAGAGCUACAUGUUGAAUAUUUUUAAUCUUUAAGAGUCUUCUUCAUUAAGUAUUUCAAAUAUCCACAUGUUUUGUGAGAUCUGCCUUUUGUUUAUUGUUAAAUUUGCUUUAUUGAUAGUGAUUAUUUUUAUUAUAGAAGCCAAGAUUUAUUCUUGAUAAUAUAUUUGUAUAACCUCUAGUUGAUCUAGAGAAGACUUGUAAUAAUCCAUUAUUCUAAAUAGUGAAAGAUUUAUAUCAAAAUUAUGGUAUUUUUUUUAUGAGUUGCUUGAUUAUUUUUUGCUUAUUAAAUUAUCUGAUUAGAUUGUAGAGAUUAUUAUUUCUCUAUGAUAUUUCAUUUAAUUGUACAAAGAGAGAAAAGAAGUUUGCAGCAUUAUUGUCCAUGAUUGCAGUUUUUUCCAACAAAAUGGUAUUAGAACAAGGUUGUUACUGAUUGAAUUUUCUUGGAUUGAUUAAAUGAAAGAACAUAUGAAAAGAAAUAUGAUUAAACUUAUAUCUUUCAAUUAUUCAAUUUGAAAGUUCGAAUGAAAAAUUUAUUAUUCUAUAAAGAUUUGUAUCAUCCCAUUGAAAAAGAUAGUACCAAACUAAGUGAGAAAAGUUAGUGAGAAAACUUAGCAAGAGUGGCAAAAAAUAAAUAGGAAGAUAGUUAGAUUAAUUAGGCAAUAGAAAGAUGAUAAAUUUUUUAUCAUGUUGCCAUAAAGACUAAUGUCCAUAGUCCAUGGAAGAAACUGAAAAGCCUUUAUGAAUGGAAGAUCACAUGAAAUAAAGCAUUCAUCAUUAGAAAGCAUGUGAAUAUGAAGUAUAAGGAGAAAAGUUCAAUUGUCGCGCAUCUAAGUAAAUUUUAGAAUAUAGUAAAUCAGUUGGCUACUAUGAAAAUAAUGUUAGAUGAUGAGUUGCUAGCAUUGUUGUUGCUCAGUUCUGUACCUGACAGUUGGAAAACCCUAAUUGUAUCACUCUGUAAUUUAGCUCAUGGUGUGGUGACAUUAUAAAUAGUAAAAGAUAGUGUGCUUAAUGAAGAAACUAAAAGAAGAGAAUAGAUUGCAACUACACCGUCAGAGGUAUUGGUUACAAAAUAAUAAAGGAGUAAAAUUAGAAACUCACAAAAUUUCAACAACCAUGAUAAGUCAAAGAGAAUGUUCAAAUUCAAAAAAAGGAUCAAAUAUUUUUAUUGUGGCAAGUUAAGGCAUAUAAAAAAAGAAUGUAGAAAAUUUAAAAGAGAGCAAUCAAGAGAGAGAAGUGAAGAAAAGAUGGAAGAAAAAGAUACAGCAACAGUAGUAUUUGAUGUUGAUGUCGCUAUUAUUUGUAAUGAUAAUUUUGUGAACCUUACAUACCAUGAUUGUACUUAAGUUGUUGACUUAGGUAACUCUUUUCAUAUUACUUUUUGACGUAACCUCUUCACAUUUUACACUAGUAAUGAUUUUGGUAGUGUCAAGAUAAAAAAUGAUGGAGUAACUAAAAUUAUAGACAUGGAAGAUGUUUGCUUGGAAAUCAGUAUUAGAUGUCAAUUAUUGAUGAAAAAUAUGAGACAUAUUCUAAAUAUCUGUCUUCACUUGAUCUCUACUAGAAUACUUGAUGAUGAAGAUUACCACAUCCACUUUAAUGAAGAAAAAUGAAAGCUCAUCAAAGAUCUUCUAGUGAUAGUAAGAGAAAAAAAAAUCAAGCACACGUUAUAUGAUGUAGGUAAAAUUAUGCAAGAUGGAGGUAAAUACAGGUGAAGAUUCUUCCAUUGAAUUAUGGCACAAGCAGCUUGGCUAUAUGAGCAAGAAGAGAUUUGACAUUCUUGCUAGAAAUUUUUUUUUUUCUAUCAAAGGUAUGUCUUUGAAGACAUGCACUGAUUAUUUAACUGACAAACAAUAUAGAGUUGCAUUUUAUAAAUCUCCUCUAUAUAGAAGAUCAUAUAUUUUAGAUUUGAUUCAUAUUGAUAUUUAUACUAUGGAUGCUAGAACUUUUGGUGAUGUUUUAUAUUUUGUUACUUUUAUUGAUAUUACAUUAUGGAUGCUAGAUUUUUUGGUGAUGCUUUAUAUUUUGUUACUUUUAUUGAUAAUUAUUUUAGAAAAGUAAAGACUUUUUCUUUAAAAUCUAAAGGCCAUAUGCUCAAUGUAUUUAAUCAUUUUCAUGCUAGUGUUAAAAGAGAAACAAGAAGACAACUAAAGUAUAUUCGAACAGAUAAUGGUGGUGAAUACAAAGAUUCAUUUGAGAAAUAUUAUAGAGACCAUGGUAUCAGGCUUGAGAAAACUGUUCUUAAAACAUCUCAACAUAAUGAAAUUGCCAAGAGAAUGAAUCAUAUUAUUUGUGAAAGUACUCAAUAUAUGCUCUUUCAUACUAGACUGCUUAAAUUAUUUUGGAGUGAAGUGAUGAGAACUGCAGUAGAUUUGAUCAACCUUUUUUCUUUAAUUCUUCUUCAAGGUAAUAUGCCAGAAAGAGUAUGGAGUGGAAAAGAUGUGUAUAUAAUUUCUUGAGAGUGUCUGGCUACAGGCUAUUUUUUUACAUGCCUAAAGAUAAAAGAACGAAGCUUGAUAGAAGGUCUAAAUAAUAUAUCUUCCUAAGUUAUGCACAUGAAGAAUUUGGUUACAGAUUAUGGGAUCCAGUUGAUAAAAAGAUUAUCCAAAACAAAGAUAUUGUGUUUCUAAAAGAUUAAACUAUUGAAGAUUUUAAAGAAAUUAAGAAGCCAAAGUCUAUCACUAGAAAUUAUAUUGAUCUAGGUUUAGUGCCUCCUACAAAGAUAAAUAAUAAUAAUGGAGAAAAUGUACAGAAAGAUGAUACUAACAUCGAUGAACUCAUAUCUAAUAAUGAUGUGCCAGAUGAACAUGUUGAGCAAGCUCUUCCAAAACCACCAGUUGAGGCUCAAUUGAGAAGAUAUUAGAGAAUAUCAUCUAUCUCAGAGAUAUUCUUCUCAUAAGUAUGUGAUGAUCACUGAUAGAAGAGAACCAGAAUGCUACCAAGAUGUCAUGAAUCAUAAGCAAAAGAGAGAGUAGUUAAAAGCUAUGCAGAAGAAGAUAAGUAUUUGCAUAAGAACAACAUAUUUGAGUUGGUAAAACUAUCUAAGGGUACAGAGAACUCAAGAAUAAGUGGGUAUUCAGAUCGAAAACUAAAAGAAGAGCUCACAGUCAACAUAUAAGGCAUGGUUGGUUGUGAAAGAAUUUGGUCAGAAAAAAUAUUGAUUUUGAGAAAAUUUUCUCAUUUGUAAUUAAGAUGUCUUCAAUCCAAAUUGUUCUUAGUUUAGCCACAAGUAUAAAUUUGGAGAUUGAACAACUUGAUAUGAAAACUACUUUUCUCCAUAGAGACUUAGAGGAAAAAAAUUACAAAGAGUAGCCAAAGAGAUUCAUAGUUAAAGGCAAAGAGCAUCUUGUAUGUAGAUUAACGAAGAGCUUGCAUGGACUCAAGUAGGCACCUUGAUAGUGGUAUAAAAAAUUUGAUUCUUUUAUAAUAGACCAUAUAUACAAAAAUCACUUCUAAUUAUUAUGUAUUUAUAUAGAAAUUCUCUAAUGAAGACUUUAUUAUUCUCUUAUUUUUUGUAGAUGAUAUGCUAAUUAUUAGCCAUGAUGCUAGAAAGAUUGGAAGCUUGAAAAGAGAGUUGAGCAAGUCCUUUGCUAUGAAGGAUUUGGGGCCAGCUAAACAAAUUCUUGACAUGAGAAUUACUCAUGACAGGAAGAGCAGAAAACUUUAAUUGUCUUAAAAGAGAUAUAUUGAAAAGGUGCUUAAAAGGUUUAAUAUAAGUAAGUCGAAAUCAAUUUUCUCUCCACUUUGAGGUCACUUCAACUUAAGUUCUAAGCAAUAUCCUAUAAGUGAGAAAGAUAAAAAAAAAAAUGAAGAAGAUUCCUCAUGCAUCCGUAGUUGGUAAUUUGAUGGACACCAUGGUUUGCACAAGGUCAAAUUUUGCUUAUGCAGUUAGUAUUGUAAGUCGAUAUUUCUUUAAUCUUGAUAAGAAAGAUUAAACAGCUAUUAAAUGGAUCCUCAUGAGGUAUCUCAAAGGCACUUCUAUAGUCUAUUUGUAUUUUGAUAAAAGAAAACAUGUUUUGGAUGGGUACAUAAAUGCAAAUAUGGUUGGUGAUAUAGAUUCUAGAAAGUCUACAUCAGAAUGCUUGAUAAUUUUUUUAGGAAAAUAAUGUCAUAACAAUCUAAAUUACAAAAAUGUGUUACUUUAUUCACUAUAGAGGCCGAGUAUAUUGCAGUUAUAGAAGUUUGCAAAGAAUUUUUAUGGGUAAAAAUAUUCUAUAAAAGUUGGGUCUAGAACAAGAGAAGUAUAUAUUUUAUUGUAAUAGUCAAAGCACCAUCCAUCUUUUAAAGAACCCAAUAUUUCAUUCAAGAUCUAAGUACAUUGGUAUAGAUAUCAUUGGGUUCGAGAUGUUUUGGAGAUGAAAUUCUUUUAUCUUGAGAAAAUUUAUAUUGAUAAUAAUGCAUCAAAUAUGAUAACUAAGGUCUUGUCCUUGAAAAAGUUGAUUGCUUGUAGAAAAAAAGCAGGCUUGACGAAACCUCCCACAUAAGCCGGAAGGGGGAGAUUACUAUGUAGUCCCUCCUCAUGUAGGACCAACAACCUUAAAAUAAAAUAAAAAGGAAAUGUGGGUAUUUUAGGUCACGUAUUUUUGGUUGGGCCCGAAUUGUUGUGGCAACAGAGGAUUGUGCAACAUAAAAAUAGAGGCGGCGGCCAUUGGGAAGAGAAAAAAAUUCAAAGAAAUGAUAUUAUUUUGUUAGAUGAUCAGAUGGUUAAUCGUAUCUUGAUCUUGAUAAAAUAGUAGUAUAAAAUUAUUCCUGGCAUUGAAAGCUAUAAGUUGAACGGUUUUGAUCUUUAAAAAAGUCUUCUCCAUUAAUUAUUUCAAGCAUGCAUAUAUUUAAUGAGAUCUAUCUUCUAUUUAUUAUUGAAAUCUAUUUUAUUGGUGAUGAUUAAUAUUUUUAUUGUGGAAGUUAAGAUUUAUUCUAAAUGAUAUAUUUGUAUAAUUUUCAGUUGAUCUAGAGAAGAUCUGUAGUAAUCCAUUAUGCUAAAUAGUAAAAAAUUCAUAUUAAAAUUGUAAUGUCUCUUUUUAUGAAUUGCUUGAUUAUCUUUUGUUUAUUAAAUUAUCUGAUUAGAUCAUAGAUAUUAUUGUUGCUUUAUGAUAUUUUAUUUAAUUAUCUAAAGAGGGAAAAAAAUUACAGUAUUAUUGUUUGUGAUUGCAAUUUUUCUCAACACAUCACUAUUCGGAUACAAGAUAAUUGAUUCAUCCAAAAUAAAGCCUAAAAUAUCAAACUGAUAUAAAUAUUUUUGAUAUAGUUUGCCAAGACCAUAGCAUCAUCAGAACAUGGAUGUAGAAAAACCACAUAAAAUUGGAUGAGUAAUCUUAGUGAAAUAGCUUUACCAGCUACAACUUUUAUGUUAGGAAUAAGAACCGCAUCCCCCAGUGGCACUCAUAAUUCAUAGUAUUUAUCAGCCAAAUGGAAAACAACAUUAAAAUUUNNNNNNNNNNNNNNNNNNNNGUUGGGUGGGAGGGGGGGUUAAAAAAUGUGAUUGCAUGAAUACAUUUGGAAUUGUACUCAAAGAAAAAAAAAGGGUAAAUAUACUGAAAACAAUCAUCAUGAUAGGGUGAUUUGGAUGUACAGGCCAUCAAAUUAGCAACCAUGCAUACAUGUCAAUGGCGAGAACAAGUCACAAAUAAAUUGCCAUGUGAAUUUUUAUCACUUUGACUUGACUUCAAAACACUUAAAAUUCCAUUUUAAUACAUAGGGGGAAGAGUGAAAAACAAAGGGGAAAAGAAUACUAUCAGCCACUAGACUCUAUCAAAAUACCUUGUUCUUGCCUGAUAACUUGUCCCCUUAGUCUAUAACCUGAUAAUCCCUUCGGCGAUUGUCUCGAAUUCAGUUUAUACUUGACCUGCACCUUGGUAUUUAUUUGUUCUCAGUCUGUCUCAGCAAUUCAUUCGUGGUCUAUGGUCAUUUGUGCCUUGGCACUCAAUCUGUGCUCAGCCUCCUAUUUGGUAUCAGGUCUACUUGACCUGCCCUUUGGUGCUGAAUCCAUGCUCUAUCUAUAGCUUGGCACUUGGUGUGUCCUGCACCUUGGUAUUUAUUCCAUGCUUGGUCUGUGUCCCAACACUUCAUGCUUGAUCUACCAUCUAGUACUUGGUUUUGUGCCCUCACACUCAACCUAGGCUCGGUCUCCUGUUUGGUAUCAGGUCUACUCCAUUUGCACUUUGGUGCUCAAUCCAUGCUCGGUCUACUGCUUAGUUCUUGAUUUGUGCUUAGCACUUUUGUGCUCGGCCUGUCUCUUAAGCUACAUCUAUACAUUCAGUCCACUUUCCAUACUACAAACGAGGUCUCUAAGUACUUGGUUAUUCUCAUCCUUCUCGGAAGUCACUACUUCUUGCCUAAUCAAGAUCUAUAAUUGAUUGGUCCAAUGCUCUUGGCUAUUAGUUUGGAUGUAGUGUCAAAUGAUUUUGGGAUUAAUCAAUUUGAGCUUAAGCAAGCUAGCUUUUACUCAGCUUGCUUGCAAAUUGAUUAGAUUGAAUUUAAGCUGAAUUUUUAGCUAAAUGCAAGCUCAUUUGUGAAUAGCUCACUUAUUUGAUGGUAAUCAAGGGUUACCUGGACUGCGGAGCAAGUUAUUUAAGGACUACUAUUCCCUGAUCUAAAACUUUCUUGUUUGUUUUUUUUGGGUAAGAACAAAAACUUUUUUGUUAAAAUGAUGUAAGAAAGACAGGAAGUUUAAAAUUUCAGAGAAACUUUCAAUCUCCACAUCCCGAUUUUUCUGGAAUAAGAUAAAGCCCUUCUAUACAAUUUACAUUAUCCCUAAAAAUUAGGAUUAAUGGUUCCAACGAGUAGCUUGACGUCUCCCACCUCUUCUUUACUUUGUUCUUUUUUUUUAACUCCAAGAGUUACUCCAACAUAUCGUAUGACUCUGCCAGCUGAUAUUAUCAAUCCAAUAAGAUUUUAUAGCAUCCAAACAAACUCCAAAGUCUUAUUUGGAUCAAGAGAUCAGAGAAGAAAUUAAACAGAAAUAGAGGAAAGUAAAAAUCCUUUUUGUUUAGGAUAGAAAGGAAGUGAAACUCAUUCCUGUAAUUUGGUUAGGAACCUAGAAGAGAAAAGAGAAGAAAGUUAAAAUCUCUUCUUUGGAUAGUUAGGAGAGAAAAGAAGAGAAAAGAAGUAAUGUAUCUCUAAACCCCUUCUUUCAAUCUCUACAAAAGGUGAGGGAUCUAUAGAGAAUAGUAAUUCAAUCUCUCUUCUCUUGAAUCACCUUAAGUAAUUCAAAUUACCUUAAAUUGCUUUUAUAUUUAUGUCUACCUUCAAAUAUUACAUAAAUGUGUCGUUGCUUCAUAGGAUGCUUGGCUCAUCUAGCUACCAGAGGAACCAGACAAAAGGGUCUAUGAAGAAUCACUUGUCCAACCUUUGGAAGUAAUGAUCAUGGACCUGGUAGAUGAUUUUGAUGAUAGGGAUUAUAUCCAUGAUAUCGAGUAUUUUCUUGGAGAUGAGAACCUUCCGAUCUACACUAUAAAAGAUAAUUGAAUUGAGAUCCAUUAGCUUACUACCAAAUAUGUAAAAAUGGUUAAGCUCAUGCUACUAUUGCAUUUAUUUAUAAAUAUAUAUAAUACAUCAAAAUUUCGUGAUUCUAUGAUUGUGGGAAACAAAUAAAGGAAAAGAUAAAAUCCUAUAAUUAUGGGAAAUAAAUGAAGGAAAGACAAAAUCCCAAGUUGUGGGAAAUAAAUAAAGAAAAGACAAAAUUUCAUAAUUGUGGAAACAAAUAAUAGAAAUGAAUAAAUAAGAAAUUUUAAUGCUUUCCUAAUCAAGGAUGGUAGAGUUAAUGGAGGAAUUGAUAAGCUGGUGGAGUUCGAUGGAGGAUUUGAUAUGCUUUUCAUGGAGGAUUUGAUAUGCUUUCCAAAUAUAACACUCUAAUAAAAUAUGUGCUCUAAGGCGACAUCUCGUGUCCUUGAUCCUAUGAUGGUCUCCUUUUCAGGUGCAUUGGCGACGGAUCAUGCCAGAUGGUUGAUGAAGGUUGCUUUGAAGUAUGGAGCCGAUGCGAAUAGUGUAAUGUUCCUAAGAAGAUCGCCAAAAAAGGCUAAUAUUGAUUGACCAUACAGAUUGACUGCUACCUAUAGCGAUGAUGCGUCAAAUAUCAGAUUCAUGCGAACAAAAUUGAGGCACUUGGUUCAUGAUUGCAUCCGUGCUCGAUGUUGGCUCUAGAUGUGAUCAGCCCUUUGAGUGAAAUAGUGAAGGGAAGCAAGAAGAUACAUGUGCUCGCAGCCACUGACCACCGCACGAAGUGGACGAAGUGGGUUGAAGCUGAGGCAUUUCCCUAGGACCUGCAAGCAACAGUCAUCACGUUCCUGCUGCUUAACGUACUUACCCUUUUGGUAUUCCCAAAACGAUCAUGAUAAGAAAUAGACCCUCAAUUUAUCUCCUAGGCUAUGCAUGACUUCUGUGAGAGAAUGGCAUCAAAUUGACCACUCUACUCCUUAACAUCCUUGGGGCAACGGCCAAGUUAAGGCAGCAAGUCAGACCAAGCUCAAGAUCAUUAAGAAAAUGAUCAGGACUCAUGAUGCAUUGAAUUGGCCCAAUAAGCUUGUCGAGGUGUUACGAGCCUAUCUCACUUUUCAAUUUGUAUAGCCACUGGUCAAACCCCUUGUACUCUUCAUAUGGAAUGAAUAAAGUAGUUCCAUAUGAAUUCCUAAUCCCCUAAUUCUGAUUAAGCAUAGAUGAGCAUGAGAGGCUCUUAGCCUGACUCAAACUCCUCAAUCAGAAGUGGUUUGGAGCUGCCAAGCACAUCCAGAUCUACCAACAAAUAAUCUCUGGAGCCUAUCAAAAGAAAGUUAUCAUGCACUAUUUUGAACUUAGUGAAUUGUCCUUGGGAGAAUUACUUGGUUACAAGCUCCAUCUGAGGGGCAAGCUCCGACCUACAUGGUCAGGCCCUUGCUCUUGAAAGUGCCAAUCAAUUAACCAUCGGAUGACAUGCUUGGAUGCCAUGCAACUUAAAGUACUUCAUGUAAGCCUAACCUGAAUCAUCGGUCCUCGCUCCCCGUAACCAAAUUGAUGAGUUGGCUGAAUCUGAACACAGAGGGUGCAGCUAAGAGAGAAUUAGGGGCAAGCCCAAAACAAAGCCUUAAUCUUACAUGAGCAAACUUCACUUGGGAAGGCUUGAGGGGAGCCAAAGAUCGAUCCCUACUUGCCAAGGCAAAUCCACGUUAACUUAUGACCUGCUAAAAUGAUUCUAAUGUGGACCACGAGGAGACUCCCACCAAUUUCCUACAAAAUGAAAGAGCCCAAAACUGGCAAAGAAAAACAAAAGAGCCUAAAAGCAGCCCCAAAAGGAGAUCCACUAGAAUUUGGUUAUCUUUGGUCUCACCAGGGCACCAAGCUCUAAACUCACACUAAGGGCUUGUUUGGAUAUUCAUACAAGAUUGGGCUGAAAAUCCUGUAGGAUUUGGGCAUUGGCUGUCUAUUUAAACAUGGCUUUGUGUCAACCAAGCAUCACUCAGCUCCAAUCCUAUGGAAAUGGAAAAAAGAUCAACCCCCAUGGUCUUUUAUUCUUUCCUGCAUCCCAAAGGCUAAAAUAUAGGCUGGGUUUUGAUGGGCUCUUAGGAAAUGCAAGCUAGAAGAGCCAAUAAGCUAGAUUCCUAUUGAAUUUUCUGCCUAAUCCUAUAGGAAUGUCCAAAUAGGCCAUAAAUAAUUUGAAAACCUCGCCAAAAGAGGUUACCGAAUAAGAAUAUUAUGAUGAGGCGUCGGUGGGUAGAGAACCUUGGUUUCUUUAUUAAAACAAAGACAGCUCUGUAUGUGUAAGUUAGCAACCCAUUUAACCUUACAGCCGAGUUCUUUAUGGGCAUGGUUAUUUCUACAAAAUGCUAUGUUACUAGCUCCAAAACUGCUUAUCAUAGGCCAUGCAUUUGUUCUACUAUUUGUGUAAAAUUUGUGUAGUUGGACCUUUCAUGGCUCAUUAGUUCAAUGGUUAGUUGGUAACGGAGCAGCAAUUCAUAUAUCUACUGAUCUAUGGAUCUCUAAUGUGCCUUUGUUAGCAUGGCCUAUGUUUAUCAAUAUGGAUAACCUGCCUUUUGAUAUAUAGGUCGUUGAUUUAUUGGCUCCAGACCAGGUAUGGAAUCACUAUUUGUUGAAUGAUCUCUUUUCAAUUGAUAUGACAAUCCAUAUAAAUGCAAUCCCAUUACCAAAUACUAAGUACCUCACUGGUAACAAGGCAUGGCCUCUAAACCUCUUUCUCUUCUUUUUCUUAGUUUCUUUAAGGUCCUCGCCGGUUGGGUGGCCAUUGGAUUCCAUGGAUAAGGCUUCCCCUGCUCUUGUCUUCUUCUUUCCUUCCAUCGAAGCAACCGCUGUCAUUGGCCUGCCAUCGUUAGGGCCUGUCAUUGGGAGCAUUGCCAUGGGAGAUGGCUGGCUUAGACCUCCCCUUCCUCUAUUUUACACAAAGAAGAAAUAGAGAAUGAGAGAAAAAAAAGAAAGAAAAGAAAGAAAAAAAAAAAAGAAAAAAAGAGAGAGUUUUUUGUCUCUCGUCCCUCUAUCCUCUCUUUAACUUCUCUCUCUAUGAGUUUCUCCCUCUAUUUUCUCUAUAUACUUUCUCUAUUUAGAAUUUUUCUUUCUAGAUUGUUUUUCUACAUGGAUUUCAAUCUCUAAAAAAUUUAUGGACCAAUGGAGGGUCGAGGUACUUAGGUAACCUAGAUCGAUUGGUUGACUUUAGGAGAGAUUUUAGACUUAUGAUAUUAGGAUCGUUUAUUGUAAUUUUUCACCGUCUUUAAUCGCCCAUGAUUUUAAUGUUUAAUCUUGAUUAUAUAGAGGUGCAACUGUCUGCACAAGAUGUCGAAUGAAACAUCUUAUUUUUGAGUUCAUAGAUCGAGAAGUUCAUCGAUUACUGUGUUUGAGUCGAUCACUAAUGAAAGUAAAGAUUGUUCAACAUGAUCAUCUACAUAUUUAUGAAAAAUUAAAUAUAUAUGAUUGAUGCAUACUAUAUCUAUCAGUAUGUGCAUUAUAUGUUGUUCAAUUGAUAUUGUUUGAAUUAUGAUUAAUUAGUACUUAAUGAUUGCUAAGUAAGAAAAAUAUGAUUUAACAUAAUUGAUAGGGUGGACGGCAUUUAGGUUUGUCGAUCACAUAAGAAACAUGGUGUAUAUGCUAGAUCAAUCUUGGAUUAGGGUAUGGCAUUAUUUUGGUUUGCUAUGAGCUGCAGCAUAACUAUGACUAAUCUAAUACUGAAAGAUUAUGAUUUUAAUAAUAUGGAUAGCGCAUGGGUAGUGUUUGGACAUUUGGCUAUGCCAGAAAUAUAGUGUGUGUACUGGGUCAAUCUCGAGCUUGGAUACAGUGUUGUGUUUGGCCGACCACAGGCUAGAGCAUGAUUGUAAUUAGUUCAAUAUCAAAAAAAUAAUCAUAAAAUAUGAGAAAAGAGAGCAUGUGGGUAGUUGGCCGUGUGUGAAACAUAGCGUAUUAGUCGUGUAUUGAGAUGUUUGGCUACCACAAGCUAGAGUGUGAUUGUCUAGUCCAGUACUAAAUUAAAUUAAGAUGAUGAACCAUGUUUAAUUAAAGGAUAUCUAGACUAGCUGCAUGUGUGAAACAUGAUGUUUCUGAUGUCAACUAUGGGCUGAGAUGUGGUUGCCGGCCAUGGACAGAAAUAUGGUGUGUCUUUGGUCUGCUAUGGGCUAAUGCAUGAGCGGUCUAGUUCAAUGCCAAAAUAAUAAUGUUGUUUGGAUCAAAACUAUAUUAACCAGUUAAUGAUAAGCAAUCUUAUUGAAUUACUAUUGAACAGAAUCAUUGAUUUAUAAUAUAUAACAUGUUUAAUAAUAUUAUACAUGAUGAUAUUAUUUAACUAUCAAAUUAAUGAUAUAUCAAUCUUAUUAUUUUUCUAUCAGUUAUAUAUAUUUGUUAAAAGAUAUUUCAUAUUCAUGCUAAUAUGAGUGUGAAAAAUUUUUACUAGACUGUAAAACUUACAACUCUCUUUUCUUUAUCUUCCUAAAGUUGCAGGAUGCUCAUGUUGGCUGUGAUAUGGGUUCGUGGAUGAAAAGUGUUAGGAAGGAUUCCUUAAGAGUAUAGAACAUGGAUCGCUCAUCCAAGAUUGCUAACCCAGAUGAUGAUAUCGAUACCGCAAUAGGAAGGAAGAAAAAAUAUAAAAAGGAUGCAGUCAAAUACAUAGAUCAGUCCAAGACUUACCUCUAUAGUGCAUGCAAGCUUCACUAUGAAAGAAAAAUAAAUACAAGAGGAGAUCACACCCUCUCAACUCUCAUAAAUCUCUCUCUCUCUUAACAAGAAGUUCUCGACCCUCCCUUGCAAAGCUCUCAAAGAACCCCUAAAAGGACUCCCUGCCUGCCACCUAUUGCUCCAAGCCGCUCUCUGUGCUCCACAGCCAAUCUCAACUGCUACCACUAUUUCUUCAGGCCAUCAGGCCUCUUUUGAAGGCCCAAAAUCGAGUCCUGGUUGAAAUUUGACUUCUAUUUGGACUCAAAAAACUUUUUGGCCAUCUGAUCAAGUCUGCAUCAAAUUUUGGCCAUCCGAUCAUGCAAAACACCCUCUGAUCACACCCCUUGACCGUUGGAUCAUGCGAUUGUAAGUGUGGACCACAUUAUAUCCCCUCUUGACUACAGCGGUCCAUGCCUUAUGCAUGGACCGCGACUCCCACACUCUCGUGUGGUGGAUCAUGCGUGCAUCGUGCACCUUGCACGCGGGCACACCCUGGUGGACCGCCCUAUGGUCCGUGCAUCCGCAUCCUGAGCCACGCACUAUGGGCAGGCCUGUGCACUGCAGGCCCGCAUGCUGUGGACCAUUUGUGCCAGCGGACCGUACCUGCAAGCCUACAUUCCUACAUCUACAAACCUGGUCUGCUGGGCUUUUCCAUCUUGGACUUCUCUGCUGUGGGCUUCUUAUUGUGGGUUAAAUUUUGAAGCAUCAAAAUCCAACAAAAGAUGAAUAGAUAGAGCAUUAUUGAUAUCUAAUUGGAUGAUUGAAGAAUAAUUAAAUUUGUAACUGUACAAGUUUUAUUGAGUGUUAUGAAUUGAGAUGAUUAUUAUUUAUGGGUAUUGAGAUUGUAAUAGAUUUUAAUGCCUUGCAUGAUCUCUAGGGCUUCACUUUAGGGUUCAUGCAGUAAUUGUGUGCCUGACCUAGGUGCUGGAUUUGGGGCAUGAUAAAAUGCUAUGAGAGCUUAAGGUUAUGAUUUAUAGGGACUAUGAGUUAAGGGAUAUUUGAGCAUAAUUUUAUAAUCACUAAGGAUGUGACAGAAUGGUAUCAGAACUUAGAUUAUGAUCCCAUGAGAUUGUGACAUAACUGACUAGGACAUAACAGAAUGAUAUCAGAUCCUAGGUUAUGAUCAUUUAGGAUUGUGAUAUAAGUGACUAGCGCAUGAUGUAAGUAACAUCAAAAUUUAGGGUUAUGGUUACUAGGAAUUGUGAUAGAGGUGAUUCAUAGGAUUUGAAUGGAUAAUUUGUAUCUCGAAUUAUAAUUCAAGGAAUUGAGAAUCUAUGAUUUUAUUGGUUCAAAGAAAAUUUAGCAAACCUGAGAAAUUUAGUGGAUUUAGAUCAGAGUGUGCAGUGAAAGCAUAUGCGAUUUAAGUCAUUCAAAUUUGAUUGAAAAUAUUUAUUCUAAUAUGAAGGAUGUGAUGCUAAAGGAUUGGAAUUUCUUUUCGAGUGAAGAAGCUACAUAGGAGCUCGAGGAUUGGUUAAAAAUUUUGCACCCUUAAGAUUUCAACUUUGUAGUAUGCUAAUUUUGAGGACAAAAUUAUUUUAAGAAAGGAGAAUGUAAGGAUCCAGACUUUUUAAAUUUCCAUGCAUGAGAUUUAAAUCAAAAAUCCAAAAAAAAAAGAGAAGAAAACUUUGGAACCUCACAUGACUGGCAUGUGAGGCAGACUCCCAAUGAAGUCUACUUCCUUCUCCAUUUUUCACCUAGAAUAGGACUCUUAGGGCUUGUCGGAUUCUAAUGAAAGCCCUAGGAAUCGGUUUAUAAAAAGCUCCGAAUUCUUUCCCUAUGCAUUGCCUUCCACCCCUUGAUCAAUCACCGAUGAAAUCUAUGGGAUUUCUAUUAAGUAUUUUUGAGAGCCACUAUUAUUGUCAUCGGGAAAGAAGACCAAAUACCUCACUAGAAAUAAGGUAUGGCCUCUAAACCUCUUUCCUUUUUUUUCCUUAGGUUCUUUGAGGUCCUCACCAACUGGGUGGCCACUGGAUUUUCUGAAUAAGGCUUCCUCUGUUCUUAUCUUCUUCUUUCCUUCCAUCGAAAUAGCUACCGUCAUCGGCCAUGUUUGGCUAUCGAAGGUCGAGGCUAUCGAGGGCUCUGCCACCAUUAGGGGUUAUCAUCAGGAGUGCCACCAUGGGAGAUGGCUGGCUUAGAUCUCCCCUUCCUCUGUUUUACACCAAGAAGAAAUAAAGAAUAAGAGAAAAAAAGAAAGAAAAGGAAAAAAAAAGAGAGAGUUUUUAUCUCUCUCUUCUCUCUCUACAAGUUUCUCUCUUUAUUUUCUCUAGACUUUCUCUUUCUAGAAUUUCUCUUUCUUGAUUGUUUCUCUUAUAGAUUUCUCUCUCUGAAAAAUUUAUGAACCAAUGGAAGGUCCAGAUACUUAGGUAAUCCAGAUCAAUUGAUUGAUCCUAUGAAGAGUCCUGGACCUAUAAUGUUAUGAUCGUUUGUCAUAAUUUUUCACUAUCUCUAAUCAUCUAUUAUUUUUAUAUUUGACCUUGAUCAUAAGAGGUGUGACCUGUAUAAGGUGUCGAGCAGAACAUCUUAUUUUCAAAUUCAUAAAUUGAGAAGUUUAUCGAUUACUGUGUUUGAGUCAAUUACCAAUGGAGGUAAGGAUUUUUCAACAUAAUCAUCUACAUAUUUAUGAAAAAUUAAAUUUAUAUAAUUGAUGUAUUUUUAUAUAUCUAUCGGUAUGUGUAUUAUAUGUUGUUGAAUUGAUGUUGCUUGAAUUAUGAUUAAUUAGUGCUUAGUGUUUGCUGAGUAACAAAAAUAUGAUUUAAUAUAAUUGAUAGGAUGGGCGGUAUCUAGAUUAGCUAGUCAUACAAAAAAUAUAGUGUAUAUGAUGGAUCAGUCUCAGACUCUGAUGCGGCAUCAUUUUGGCCUACCAUGGGCUAGAGCAUGACUGUGACUAAUCUAAUAAUAAAAAUUAAAUUGACUUUAAUAAUAUGGAUGGGGCAUGGAUGGUGUUUGGAUUAUUUGCUAUGCAAAAAAUAUAGUGUGUGCUGGGUCAACCUUGGAUUGAGAUACAGUGUUGUGUUUGGCUGACUAUGGGCUAGAGCAUGGUUGUAAUUAAUCUAAUACUGAAAAGAUAAUUAUAAAGCAUAGAAAAAGAGAGCAUGUGGAUAAUCAGCCAUGUGUAAAACAUGACGUAUCAAUCAUGGACUGAGAUGUUUAGCCUAUCACGAUUGAAGUAUAGUUGUGACUAGUCAAGUACUGAAAUCUAAUCAAGAUGAUGAACCAUAUUUUAUUGAGGGGUAUCUGAACUAGCCGGCAUGUAUGAAAUAUGGCAUUUGUGAUGUCAAUUAUAGGUUGAGUUAUGGUUGUCGGCCACAGACAGAAAUAUAUUACGUAUUUGGCUUGCCAUGGGUUAGAGCGUGAGCGAAUCUAGUCCAGCACCAAAAUAAUAAUAUUGUUUAGAUCAGAACUGCAUUAAUUAGUUAAUGAUAAGUAAUUUUAUUGAAUUAUUAUUGAACAAAAUCAUUGAUUUAUGAUAUUGACAUAUUUAAUAAUACUAUAUGUGAUGAUAUUAUUCAACUAUAAAAUUAAUGAUGCAUGAAUUUUAUUAUUUUUCUAUCAGUUAUAUAUAUUUGUUAAAACAUGAUUCAUAUUCAUGAUAGUGUCACUACAAAAAUAAAUAUUUUUUUAUGAUAAAUUUUUAGUAAUAAAAUAAAAUAUCAUCACUAAAAGUAAAAUUUUUGUAACAAAUUAUAAUUCUAUUGUAAAAAAAUUAAUUUUUUAUGAUGAAAUCUCUUUUUGUCACUAGAGACAUGAGUUAUUACGAUAAAAUAAUAAAUUUAUCACAAAAAUACUCCAAUGAAAUCACAAUUUCUCAGAUUUUAGUACCAAAUCUAUUUGUGACAAAAUAUAUAUGUAUUUACGAUAAAAUAUUUGUCACUAAAAAUUAUCAAUUUGUGCCAAAAAAUUUAUCAUAAAAAAAUUCUAACUUUAGUUUUUUAUUUAUAGCAACAAAAUCACUAUUAUCACUUUAAGCAAAAUUGUUGAGACAAUAUUGUAUCAUAAAAAGUCUAAAUCACUAUUUAGUUAUUGGGAUGAAAAUAUUGUGUUGCAAAAAGUAAUUAUAUUUUUUAUAUUUUUUUAUGACAAAGGCUUGUUUAUUGUAAAAAAUUUAGAUUUUCUCCUUUUGUUCUCUCCUUUUUUUAAUAUAUUAUGAUAAAAAUAUUUUAUUGCAAAUAGUCUAUAUAUUUUUUAUGAUAAAGACUUGAUUAUUACAAAAAAAAGUUUUUCUCCUAUUAUUUUUUCCUUUUUUAAAUUUAUUGAGAUAAAAAUAUUUGUUAAUAAAAGUUAAUAUAUUUUUUAUGACAAAGGCUUAUUUGUUACAAAAAAAUUAGAUUCCCUCCCUUUUUCUCUUCUUUUUUUAAAUUUAUUAUGAUAAAAAUAGUUUAUUAUAAGAAGUCAAUAUAUUUUUUAUGAUAAAAGCUUGAUUGUUGCAAAAAAAAAAAAUUCCUCUUUUUGUUUCCUCUUUUUUUUUAAAAUUUGUUGUGACAAAAAUAUUUAUUAUAAAAACUCAAUAUAUUUUUUUAUGACUAAGACUUAUUUUUUGCAAAGCAAAUUAGGAUCCCUCCUUUUGUUCCUUCUUUUUUAAUUUUUUUGAUAAAAAUUGUUUUAUCACAAAAAGCUAUUAUAUAUAUUUUUUUUAUUUUUGUUGCAAAUGGCUAUUACAAUAUACUACCAUUUUAUUUGCAAAGCAUUAAAAUGAUGUUAUUAUAAAAAAAUAAUUAAUUAUAAAUAUUUUUGUGACAAAAUAUUUUGUCAUAGGAAGUCAUUAUAUUUUUUUUUUGAAAAACUCAUUUGCAAAAAUUAUGAAAAAAAAAUUAAAUGUUAAAAUAAGUAUCACAAAAAGUUAAGAAAAUUUUUGUAUUGCUUUAAAAUUAUUUGAUACUAAUUAUAUAGGAUGAAAUAAAUUUUAUCAAAAAAUCAAAUGCUACAAAACUUUAGUGGUUCAGCUAAGAUCAUAUUUAUCAACUUAUUAUAUGAUGUAGAAUAUCAAGCCAAAGAGUUUUACAUCAAACAGGAUAGGAAUAAGUCCAUGUGAGUAAAUCAUCGGGCUAUUGCAUUGACCAAACUUUGACUGACUAUAAUUUUUCCAUAUAGUGGUAUUGCAAGAUGAUCAAGAUAUGCUUUUCAUAUAGUUUUCUAAGAUUUAUGCCAUGGCAACCUUGGUGGAAACCCAGUUGAGGUCAUUUUCGAGGUCAAAUUUCACUAUUUCGAUCAAUUUUGAGCCUAUUUUUAUGUUUGAGUCCUAUCUUGGUAGUUUUUUCUUAUUCUAAUUGCAUACCGUAUAACACUGAAAUCUUUCAUGACAAAAUAAAGUUAAUUUGAUAAAAUAACAAAAUACAAACUUUAGUUUAAUUAAGGAGGAUGGUCCUAAAAAAUAAAUAAUAAAUAACUUACAUAUAAUAAGUUUGAUGACUAUAAUUUAGUGGUCCUAACCCAUUCUACCUAUUGUCGCAUCUCAUCUUAUUACCGGUUCUCCCUUCUUCUAUCAUUAUUUUAACUUUCUUUUCUUACUUUUUUCCUUUUUAUUUAUAUAUUUAAUUAAAUAAAGUUCUAUAUAAUAUAUGAACCAACUCUAACCAGUAUGGCUGCUCCAAACCUCCCACCUGAUUGAGACUCCUAAGGAUAGAAAAAAAAAAUCGAGGGGAAACACGAGUAAUUAUCCUAGGCUAUUUUGCUGCUCGAAAUCGCCCAUCGUCUAAGCUUUCCUGUUCAGCUGCUCUAAUCCUCCCAUCUAGUUGAGACUCUUGAGGAUGAAAAAUACGAAGAAAACCAUAGGAAAAAUAGAGAAAAAAUCAAAGAAAACAAAGAUUAGAUGAAAAAAUUAAAAGGUAAGAUCGUUUCCCAGAUUGAUUGAUAAUUCUUUUUCUUUUUGCUUCUUUUUCUUUUCAUUUCAUUCUCUUUUUAGAGAUAUUAGGGGAAGGAGAGCACCUAAGAGAGAGCGGAGGGGUUUCUUAGGUUCCAAUUAGGGUAUUUCGUGUGAGUUGUGGUGGUUUGAGUUGGUCCCUUGAGUUUUUGAGAGCUUAAUCUAGGUAGAAGUGAGUUUGGGUAUUUUUGAUCUACUGAGGAUGAAAAAGGCUGGGGAAAAUAGUGGACAAAUCAAAGAAAACAAAGGGAAGAUGGAAAAAAAUUGAUAAAACCUUUUCCCACAUAGAUUGAUCAUUCUUUUUUUUUCCUAUUCUUUUUCUUUUCAUUUCAUUCUCUUUCUCAGAGAUUUGAGGGGAAGGAGAGCACCUAAGAGAGUGCAAAGAGGUUUCUUACAUUCUAAUUAAGGUUUUUAACAUAAUAUUGUAAUAUAUAAUUUAAUUAUAUAAUAAUAUUUUGAUUUGGAAAUAUAAUAAUCAUGACAAUAAUAUAUGACUACUGUAUUAUAAUAAUAUAAUAUAUUAUGUGAUAUAAUUAUUAUACUAUAUUAUUAUAAAAUAUUAUUAAUAUAAAAAUUACUUUAUAUUUUAUCUAAAUAAUAUAAUAAACAAUAGUUGUUUCAGUUGCAAGUUAUGGCAAGUUGUGGCAGGUUCUCAUAUCUUUUCCUCUAAUGGUAUUUAAUUUUUUCUUUUGUAAAAAUAUGAUAUUGAAAUUCUUAGUUAUACUCUAAAAGAAGCUUAUUAUGUGAUUUUUUUUUUAUAGAAUAUGGACAAGAGUUGGAUUGAUGAUAAUAAUUCUUUUAGUAAGAGAUAUAAAAAAGGUGUUGAAUCCUUUCUUAAGUUUGUAAAAGAAUAUAUGAGGUGUCUGGAUGAUAUGAUUUUUUAUUCUUACUGUAAUUGCAAUAAUGAAAUAUACAAGAUCUUUAGUCAAGUAAAAUGUGACUUGUACUUGCAAGGAUUUUUUCUUACUUAUAGAAAUUGGACUUUGCAUGGAGAAAGAAUAUCGAUACAUAAUAGUGACAAUGAUAUCAAUGAUGAAAUGAUAAACAAUACUAAAUUUAGUGAAGACUUAGUAGAUAAUUUAUAUGAGUUGUUGAGAGAGAUGAGGAAAGUACAAUAAUUAUAAUUUGAUUUUUAUGUUUAUUAUGUAGAUGAAUCAAUUAUAUUACCAAGCAUGUAAAGAAGUCACAGAUGAAUUAUGGGUGUGAGCAAAUGAUCCUCAUAAAUCUAGCACAAGAUGUUGCUCUAGUUAUAUUGUGAAUGAAGUUCAAUUUCACAUAAAAGAUUAUGACAACCUUCAUAAAAUUCAAAUUAGUGGAUUACUUGUAGAAGGAGAACAUGAAGGAAAGAUAGUUGAGUUCUUUGAUUUUUUGAAGAGAGUUGUUUAACUCACAUAAAGUGAUGCUAUUUGAGUGCGAGUGGUUUAACACUAAAAGCAGUCGAACAGUACAAGAUGAUGGAUAACUUAUAAGCAUUGAUAUGAGGUCAUGGUGAUAUAAAGAUUAUCCUUUUCUAUUAUCUGAUCAAGUUUAAUAAGUUUUUACAUCAAUCACACAAAGUUAGACUAUAAUUAGCAACUUAUACAAUGGAUGCAACAUCAAUAUUUGUGAAGUCUUUUCAAGUUAGAAUUGAUAGAUGUGAAAGAUGGAGUUGAUGAUGAAGCAGUCCAGUAAUUUCAAUCGAAUGGAAUAGUUUCAAUUAUUAAAAGUGGUGAUGAGUCUCUUAACAUAUUAAAUAAGAUUAUGUUGAUCCUAGCAAAUUUGAUGAAUGAUAUUGGAGGAUCCACACCAGAUAGUAUUCAAGAAUAUGAAGAUGACACUCAAGGAGAUGGCAGUGAUGGAGAGGACAUUGAUGGAGAUGAUACAACUAAAGAGAAAGAUAAUAUGAAAAUUGAUGAAAGCAUUGAUAAUGAUCUUGAUGAUUAGUAAAAAGAUUUUUUUUCGUAUAUGUAUGUUGCAUUAUUGGAAGAAAUUUAUGAAAAAAAUUUUAUCUUCAUAAAUUUUUUUAUUCUUUAUGUUUAUAUAGUUGUGAUGUAUUCAAAUUUUAAGUGUAUAAUAUUUUUUACAACUAUUGAGUAUAAUUAUUUGCUUAAUUUGUUUAUCUUUCUAGUUUCUUUAUAGAUUUAUGGCAGGACCUAGAAGAGGCCAAUAUAAGCGACUCUGGAGUUUAUCUUCAUCAAAUGUUGAUAUAGUAGGUUGAGAGGAAGAUGUUAUAACACCUACUUUAGCUCCAACAUUCACUAUACCUACAUUACCAAAUAGCAAUGAGAUUUUUUCUAUUACAAAUACCUCUAGAAGAGCUCUCAGUCCUCCUAGCUUAAGGAGUAGUGAAAGUAAGUAUAUAUAUUCAAAUGAAUAAUUGUAUCUAUUUAAAAUAUUAUAGUUUGUAAAUAUAAUUUUAUACUUAUAUAAUAAUUAUAUGCAUGCUUGAUAUUGACUAUAUUUGUAUUUCUAGGUUCUUCCUUAUCGAGGAGAGGUCAUGGUACAUCACGAUGCAUAAUAUUAGAUAAGAAAGUCCAUAAGGUUGUCACUUGUAUACUUCAUUAUUAUAUUAGUGCAUGAAUUAUUUAUAUAUGCUUUGCUAUUUAUAUUUUAAAAAAAUAAUAUUUGGUUUAACAUUACAUCAUGGGCAUAAGAUGAUUGCAUUUGGAGAAAGAGAACGUAUACCAUUGGAGAAUGAUGCUGAUUUUACAAGAGAAGUUGGAUUUAUUGUUAAGACAUGUACACUUCUUCAUGAUGUAGGAAGAUGGAAAAAAAUCUUAGAGAAAUAAAUAAAAAAAUUAUUAUCCACAUUUAGAGGUUAUUAUAAUUUUUAUACUAGUUAUAUUCAUUUUUCACUUAGUUUUAUUAUUAAUGUAUAAAAAAGUUGUUUAAGUGACAUUAUCAUUAAUUAUUUCAGAGAUGGCUUGAAAUUAUGGAUUGACCGACUCUACAUGUGAAGAAAUAUGUUUAUAAAAUAUUUCAAAUCUAUUGUAGGCAUUGGAGGAAUAUACUCAACAAAGAACAUAAGAAGCUAAUAGUAAAAGAUAUAAAUCCACAAGAAAAAUCUCCAUGCCCAGAAGUUGGAUUAGAAGAUUGGCUUUCAGUAUGUGAUCGGAUAGAGGAUGAUGAAUUUAAGGUAGUAACUCAUAUGGCAAAAUAUAUUUACAUAUCUUUUAUAUUUUUAUUUAAUUUUUUAACUUAUUAUUGUAGAAGCGAUCACAAACAAACUCAAGUAAUCGUUCAUAACUCCUAUAUAGCCAUACUUCGGACUCUAAGACCUUUCUUAGUUGAUUUUGAAAAAUAAUAAUAUAAUAUUUAUAACAUAUUUAUAUUUUUAAAAUAUUUAAUAUAUAUUAAGAUUAAUGAAUUGUUUAUUUUUUUAUUCUACCUUUACAAGGAGAAUCCAAGUAUUGGUUGAUUUCUUCAAGGAUAUACACACAAAGAAGGGUGGUCAAAAAUUUAUUAAUGAAACUACUCAAUCAAAAUUUAUAAGUAUAAGUGUACUCUUCUUAUAUUUUUUAUUUAUGAAAAAAAGUUAUCUUGAGAUCUAAAUUAUUUUUGAAAACUUCACAGGAUGAAAUGACUGAACUAAGAUAGCAAUCCUCAGAGGAAGGUAUAGAUCAAUGGUCAAAGAAUAUGGGACAUGGCAAGUCAAGAUAUUUGAGAAGAAUAUGGGACAUGACAUUAAAGUUGAAAGUUCAAGCUCAUCUUACGUAUCAAGCUCAUGUGAUAGUGAGCUUAGGAAUAGACUUGCUACUAUUGAGUCUCAACUAGAAACAACCAAUUAGAAGAUUGCUGAAGCCAAUGAGAAGAUUGCCAUGUAUGAAGAAAAAAUGAAGACUUAUGAAGAUCAAAUGAAGGAAUUUUAGUAAUUCAUAAGAAAGAUGUGACACAAUCGAGCUUAGUAGUCUACUUUUCUGACAGUAAAGUCACUUAUUUACUAUCUCUUAGCUAUAAUAAUUCGAUUAUUAUAAUUGUUGAUUGUUUGUAAUGGUGAUUUGAAGAUUGAAAGUUAAUGUGGUUGUUAUGGUAGUGGUUAGAUAGUUAUGAAAUGAUUAUCAUGGUAGUGGUUGUAGUAGUGGUGGUUGUCAUUGUUAUAUUUUUGGAUAGAUAGAUAUAUUAGCAUAGCUACAUGUUGUAUUACUUGUGAUUACUUGGAUAGUUAUGGAAUAGUUAUGGUGGUAAUGGCUGUAGUAGUAUUUGUCACUUGUGGGUAUUUUUGAAUAGAUAGAUAUAUUAGCAUAGCUAUAUGUUGUAUGACUUAUGGUUAUUUAGAUAGCUAUUAAAUGAUUAUGAUGAUAGUGGUUGUGGUAUAGUAAUUGUCAUUAUUGUAUUUAUAAAUAAAUAGAUGUAAUAGCAUGAUUAUAUAUUGUAUUACUUAUUAUUACAUGCUUGGAUAGUUAUGGAAUGAUUAUGGUGGUAGUGGUUGUGGUGGUGAUUGCCAUUAUUAUUUGAUUAUAGUUAUUUAAUAUUAGUAAUGAUUUCAUAUAAAUUAACAUAAAAUAUCUUAUAUGCAUGCUUAAAGAUUUUCUAAUUUUGCAUGCAUACUUAUAUUAUUCUAUUUUUUUGGAUUUUUUUUUUGUAUUGUAAGUUGUUCAGAAGGAAAUUGACUUGCAUGGGAGCUUUAUGGAAGCUUGAUCCUAUUGUGGUUGAGAAGGAAAUUAACUUACAUUGGAGCUUUGUGGAAGCUUUAGUUUCAUGGUUGUUACUUAAGACUUGAGUAUUUCAUAACUUUAUGAGUGUUGUAUGAGACUUAUCAUUUUAUUUAUAAAUUUUUGUUGUAAAGAUGAUGUAUAGAAGAAUAUAUAGGAAUCUUUAUAUGACUACGUAUUUGAAGGAUAUUUGAAUUAUUAUGAAUAGAUUAAUCAAUCUAAAUUUUAGUAUAUCUUACUUGUUUAUUUGAAGAAAAAAAAUAGCAGAUUAAUUUUUUUGUGAUAAUAAAUUUUGUUCUUAAUAGCAAGUUAACUUUUUGUGAUAAUAGAUUUUAUUACAAAAAAUAAUUUUUUAAUAGUAAGUUAACUUUUUUGUGAUAAUAAAUUUUGUUACUAGUGAUAGAUUAACUUUUUUGUGGUAAUAUAUUUUGUCACUAAAAAAUUUUUUACUAGCAUGUUAACUUUCUGUGACAACAAAUUUUAUCACUAUAAAUUACUUUUAAAUUACAGAUAUUUUUUGUGAUAAAAUAUUUAUCAUUAAAACUACUUAUUUUUGUGAUAACAUAUUUUGUUGCUUAAAGUAUAUAUCCUAUUCUACUAAAAAAUUUUAUUGUGAUAGAAAUAUUUUAUCGAAUAUUCAAUUUUUAUAGUAAUAAAAAUAUUUUGUUGCAUAAAAUUUAUACUCAAAAAUCUUUUAUGGCAAAAUAUUUUGUCACAAAAUGAAAUUUUUAGCGAUAACAUGUUUUGUCACAAAGCUAGAUUUUUAGUGACAAAAAAUUUUUGUCAUUUAAUAAUGCAUAUGAAAUAAAAUCUUACUCUUUUAGUGAGAAAAUACUUUUUGUGACAAAUUUUUUUAUCUUUUUGUGACAAAAUAUUUAUCGCUAGAUGAGAUUUUUUUUUGUGACAAAAUGCUAUGUCGUUACUAAAAGUAUAUUUUUAUGAUAAAAUAAGUUUUGCCAUAAAAAUUCAGUCAUGACUUAUUGCAAUGGUACUUAUGCAACAACUCUAUGAUGAAUUUUUUUCAUCACAAAAGGUUUUAGCGAUAAAAUCUUUUACAGUGUGUGAGUAUGGGAAACUCUCACUGGGCUGUAAAGCUCACAAUCCUCUUUUUUUAUUUUUCUAGAAUUAUAGGAUGCUCAUGUUGGCCAUGGUUUGGGCUUAUGGAUGAAAAGAUGAAUAGAUAGAGCAUUAUUGAUAUCUG
RNAcentral lists this long non-coding RNA (24423 nucleotides) under Elaeis guineensis (African oil palm). Its description in RNAcentral is "long non-coding RNA (EGUI_LNC030988)". The record is from RNAcentral. Lineage: Eukaryota; Viridiplantae; Streptophyta; Magnoliopsida; Arecales; Arecaceae.